CGAGGGCUCCGCCUCCCCCGCGAUAGCUGCCGACGAGGGAUCUACCUCCCCUGCGAUAGCCGCCGACCAGUUCGCCCACCACCGGUGAACGACAGGAGCCUUUGAUGUAUAAUGUUGUUAGGAACCGGAUUUCGGCGGAAUUCCCGGUGGUGGGACUGGAUUGAUGAGGUCACUGAUAUCCCUGGUAUGUGAGGAGGCAUGAUGGUAUGACUCAGGACUUUAUGUUUAAUAUAGGUAUCAUUGCUUUUGAAGGACAGUUUCAUCGAAUCUUUUCCCUAUCGGGAUCAACCUUUUAUGAAGGUUUGUGAUUUCGAAGCUGGAAGUGAGACGAUAAGCAGGGGUUUGAGCUCACCACUGUUCUGGCAAGACUUGAGCAAAAUUAGUUCAAAUACUUGAGGCAAAAUAGCCAACAGAUACAUUCCUAUGACUAUUUGUUAUAAUUAGUUUCUUUGUCUUUAGUUGUUACAAAGUUGUAUGAGAAAUUUCAUUUUCAUAGUGAUGAUGAAAUCUUUUAAUA
Molecule: long non-coding RNA, 517 nt
Organism: Ipomoea nil (Japanese morning glory)
Lineage: Eukaryota; Viridiplantae; Streptophyta; Magnoliopsida; Solanales; Convolvulaceae
Exons: 4
Source: RefSeq, a predicted model, not a curated record